UACGGGGGGAGCAAGCGUUGUUCGGAUUUACUGGGCGUAAAGAGCGCGCAGGCGGUCGUUCAAGUCGCGUGUGAAAGCCCCCGGCUCAACUGGGGAGGGUCACGCGAUACUGAUCGACUCGAAGGCAGGAGAGGGUAGUGGAAUUCCCGGUGUAGCGGUGAAAUGCGUAGAUAUCUGGAGGAACACCGGUGGCGAAGGCGGCAUCCUGGACCGACACUGACGCUGAGGCGCGAAAGCUAGGGGAGCAAACGGG
Molecule: ribosomal RNA, 253 nt
Filed under: uncultured bacterium
Lineage: Bacteria
Description: partial 16S ribosomal RNA
Rfam family: Bacterial small subunit ribosomal RNA
Source: RNAcentral